This 26-nucleotide non-coding RNA is filed under the name Homo sapiens (human). The record is from RNAcentral. Lineage: Eukaryota; Metazoa; Chordata; Mammalia; Primates; Hominidae.
UGAGAUUCUGAUCACCUGAGAAAUGC